AUAUUUACCUGACAGGGAAAAAAUACCAUGAUUAUUCUUAAGGCAGGGGGUUUACUCAGGGUGAGGCUUAUUCAUUGUCCUCUGGAUGUGUUGACCCCUGUGAUUUACCCAGUUGUGAGAAACUCAAUUGCUCAGUCUAUGGUAGUAGGGGACAUACUCACAUACUCUCUAU
Molecule: small nuclear RNA, 172 nt
Filed under: Dipodomys ordii (Ord's kangaroo rat)
Lineage: Eukaryota; Metazoa; Chordata; Mammalia; Rodentia; Heteromyidae
Description: U1 spliceosomal RNA (ENSDORG00000019892.2)
Rfam family: U1 spliceosomal RNA
About the family: U1 is a small nuclear RNA (snRNA) component of the spliceosome (involved in pre-mRNA splicing). Its 5' end forms complementary base pairs with the 5' splice junction, thus defining the 5' donor site of an intron.
Source: RNAcentral